Molecule: long non-coding RNA, 4535 nt
Organism: Astatotilapia calliptera (eastern happy)
Lineage: Eukaryota; Metazoa; Chordata; Actinopteri; Cichliformes; Cichlidae
Source: Ensembl
UUAUGGCUUGCAGAUGACUUUUAUUUCUUAGUUUUUUCAUCACACAUUAAGACACCAAAUUGUACAUUAGACAUAAAUGAAUCAUCAUCACAAUAAACCAUGGCUGCAUCAUGACAAAACGCACAAUUUCUUCUGAAUAUGCUGUCCUUCGACCAUGGCUUUGGAGCACACACAUAUACAUCGUAGAAAACACGUCAUUCAACGCUGCAAAGAAUGAAAAGCUCCACAGGGAACUUGAUAUCUGCCUCUCUGAACAGUAGAAGAGCUCUGCCAAUGCUUUGGGUAAUAUUCUUAUCCUGUGUGGGUAAUAAAAGCAGCUGGUAAAAUGAAUAUAUAGAUAUUUUAAAUCAGAGAUAUGGACAGCUAUCUGUGUAUAUAAUAAAACUGAUUGCAGACCUUGUCAUUUUAGUGUGCGCUACAUGUGUCUAUGUACAGUGAUGCAUUUUUGCUUUUUUUGGAUGUUACCUUGGCAAUCGAUUAAAACACACUUUAGCCCUGGAGAGUGGCAGUCUGCUGAGAUUUCCUCCUGACGUGUGGAUAAUUUAGUAGCAAUAAAGUAGCAAUUUUUAAUGAAAGAUGUCGUAGCUUAUUGGGAGAGUAAAAAACAAAACAUGGUUUAAGCAGGACGACGGCUCCACCUGCAGAUACUUAAGAUACUUAAACUCUACUGAUAAAUGUUUCUUGCUAAAUUAUGUUAUUGACAGAUACUCCAUAUUAAUAUGUAUCUCCAUGAGACUAUCAGAACUGAGAUCCAUUCUCCAGGCGGAGAAGAAACCUGUUCAAAGUGGUCAGUAAAGCUUCUACCACCUUCAGAUUUAUCACUACUGUUAUUCACAAAUGCAUUUUAGAACAAUACCCUCAUGUUUGCAGAUAUUCUUCUUUUUAGGUUUUCACAUUGUGAGGACGACAUUAUUUUGACUGCAUCAUUCAAUUUUUCAAACUCAGAAACUGACUUUCAUUUUUAUUUGACAUGGGUAGCUGUGACACGCCUAUUUUGCUAACAUUUGAGGUAAGUUUAUAUGCAUAACUACAAAAAUCUACACACAUCCACACAAGAAUUAGGGCAGGUUCUGGGCCAAAGAUGAAUGGAUAACAAAUUAACAGCUGGCACACUGUGGAGCUCCAGAUUUGCUAUUUUAUUACACCACAAAAAGUCUGACAUUUUGAGCAAACCUGCUUUUUAUCACAUAAGAUACAAUGCAGCACCAUCUUAAAUCACAUGUUACUGGUUGUAAUGAUGCAUGCUUGUGUAUGUGUGAGACUACUUUAUAUGGAAUAUGCUUAACUGUAAGCACAUCAUGGUACAAUGCACUCUCAUCCGUCAGUACAGCCACUGGUGGAUGAGUCAGGGGGCGGCAGUCAGACAGGAAACUGCUGUUGAAGCUGAGCUUCCAGCGGGCAGCUUAGGUUUACAGUCUAUUAGCUUGAGACAGCAUAGUUUUAGCCAGCUGUCUGAAAAAGAUAAUCCAGUUUUCUGCAGCAGACCAUGCUCAAUACGUCAUAGUUUCUGUGUGUAACAGGCUGGCAGUGUGCAAACUGUUAUUUUAGUGUUGUGUAUGUAACUAAUUAUGUUCCAAAAUGCAACAAAUGAACAAAAUAAGUCUUCUAAAUGUUCUGUUUUCUUUACACAUGAUUGUACAUUUGAACAAAGCAAAUACAUGGAGCACUGUGCUUGUAUAUGAAGUGUUGUGAUUCACGCUAGUAGAUUUGUCAAUUUUAGAUUUUGCCAAUAACUUGAUACUAAAUGAUACAGAAACACACAUUAGAUCUAAAUAUCCUUUAAAGGUGUGUACCCUCACAUUAUGCUACACCCACAUGGUUUCCAUGGACAAAAGACCAAAAUGCAUAGGAAAACUGCAAAACGCACGUCAAUAAUGUCUCGAUGCAUGCCAUUCCCCAACUCUCUGUGAAUGGGACUCAUGGCCAUUGAUCGGUGGUCAUGACAAUUUGCAUAUUAAUGAUCCAGGAACUGACCUCCCAGCCCACUGUUCCUUCAGUGGUGCUAGUUUCACUCAUUGUGCAAAUGUACUGUAUAUAAGAUUGGGGAAACCUGCAGUCAGCUGAGACUGAAGAAGUCACCUGGAUGAGUGACGAAACAUUUCUCCCACUGAAAAUGUCCAGAUGAACAGGAUGCACUUUUGGGACACAUCAGUAAUCCUUUAACUGGAAGUAAGAACUUUGAAUAUAAGGUAAGGUGACGAUGGCUGGUCUUCGGGGUCUCACUGACUCUUUUAUAUUAAAUUAGCUCUGGCUCUUUAACUGGUUCUGUUUAAAAUGAUUAGACCCUUGAUGUUAACUCGUGAACCAGCUUGUGUUUUCUUCCAUUUCCAAUGGAACCAUUCUAGUUAUUCAGUGGAAGCAUCUCGUUUGAAGCAGGUGGAAUGUGGGACUUCACUUUAAUGUCUUUGCUAUAUGAUGUGUACCAUUGUACAAUCAAAAGAAAAUGCGAGUUCAUGUACAUAUCUACAAAUAUGAAAGUCAUGGAAUACUUGCUUUUAAUGGGUGUAGCUGCUGUCAUGAAAUCAUGGUAAAAGAGUGAGGUAGGCUGAACUGAAGCUUUGUGUGAACUGAAAGGUUCAAUCAGUGCCUGCUGAGUGUGCCAUGUAAAGGUAGACUCACACUCAUGAUAUUUGUACUACCAUGUAAAAACAAUCAGUUUGAAUUUGAUGGCAGCAGCAUGUUUCAAAGAAGGUGGGAUGGGGCGGCAAAAGGCUGACAAAGUAAGUGACACAAAAAAGAAACAUUUUAUACGUAAUUAGACAAACUGAUGACAGGUCAGUAACAGGACUGGGGGAAAAAAGAGAACAUCUGAGAGAGAGAUCUGCAAAAAAGUGCUUCAACAACAUUGUAGAGCAAUUUCAGAAUAAUGUUCCUCAACAAAUAGUUGCAAAGACUGUGAAUAUCUCAUCAUCCAAAGUCAUAAGCUCAGAAGAUUCAGAGAAUCUGGAGAAAUCUUUGCAUGAGGGACCAGGCUGAAAAUCAACAUUAGAUGCAGCUGAUCUUCAGGUCCUCAAGCAGACACGAUCCUGUUAUGAAAUCAGUGCGUGGGCUUAGGAACACUUCCAGACAUCACUGUCUGUGAACACAGCUCACUGUGUUGUCCACACACACCACAGUGCCACCAUCUCUGGACCAAAGCUCAUUUAAAAUGGACUGAAGCAAAGUGAAGAAAUUUUAAUUUGAAAUCGGAAAACAUGGACACUGCGUCUUCUAGACUAUCCGACUUGCUGUCAGUGCUCAGUUCAAAAACCUGCGUUUCUGAUGGUGUGGCAGUGCAUCAGUGCCUCUGGAGAUGGCAGUUUUAGAGCAGCAUAUACUCCCAUCCAGAUGGCAUGUGUUUCAUGGAAAGCCUUCAUAGUAGAAGAGUCCUUGCUGUUACCAGCUGGUGGAGCAUCAUAAAGUGAAAAAUAUCUCUAUGAGACAAGAAUGGGACAGCAUUCCUCUCCCAAAGUCUACAGAGUGGGAAGCAUGACCCUGUUUCUGAGAUGUGCUGCUGCCAUCAAAUUAAAAUAUUACAUAUUUCUCUUAAAAUGAUAUGUUUUCUCCGUUUAAACAUUUGAUAUGCUUUCUGUGUUCUAUCAGGAAUAAAGAUGAGCCAAUUCUGUUUUAUUUAAAUUUUACACAGCAUGAAAACUUUUUGGAAUUGUACUUCAGGUUGGCUCAGGAGGAAGACUGAUGACUUCAUCCUCCAGUCUGCAAAACACUGAACCCCAACUUCAAUGUGUAUGUGACUGUUAGAGAAAAGCUCUCAGGUGUAAAGAAAGUGCUUGUGUGAAUGUGAGUGCAAAUGGUUAAAUGACGCUUGCAGUAGAACAGGCUUCGGGUGCUCAGAGGAAUAAAGCGCUAUGUGCCAUUUCUGAACUGCCUAAUGAACUGGUUACACUGAUGCUCUGCUACCAUACCAGUAAAUAUCAUGUACUUGUUAAAAAGCAGUUGUGCGUGUGACCUUGUGUGGGUACAAUCAAAAGGAAUAACAGUGUUUUACAUAUAAUUAGAUAUCUAAUUAUAACCUGAAAAUGAUAUAACAGUGUCAAAGAGGUCUCUGGGAGUGAUUAACCUACAGAAAAUGAUCAGCUCACAGAUUUCUGCUUUGUACUCUGGCUGUGGCGUCACUGUUGGUUCUGACUACUUUAGUCUGAUCACAGUAAACUUAUCAGACCUGGGUGGAAGAAACUGCCGGAUGGGCAGCGUAACAGCGGCACCGGUGCCAGACCCACUCCACAUUUACCCUCGCUGUGUCCUGGUUCCACGCUUCAGACCAUUCCUAAGCAAAGAUGCUUACACCAAUGAAAUGCUCAGAUCUGCCUUACCACUGUAAAUCUGCUCGACUUUGUGUGCGCCAUCCACAAAUGAAAACACAUCUUAAUUACUUCAUAAAGUUUCACUGGCAGUGCUAUAAAAAGCUGCUGGACAGAAGAAACUGCUUUCUGAAAGUUACAUACAGUACUUCUGUACUGGUGUCUUUAAAUAUCAGCAGUAGUAAAAUUAAUUACAUUACGAGGGAGAGACAAAAAUACAAGAGCUUACUACUGAUG